RNAcentral lists this ribosomal RNA (254 nucleotides) under uncultured bacterium. RNAcentral's name for it is "partial 16S ribosomal RNA". It matches the Rfam family "Bacterial small subunit ribosomal RNA", at positions 524 to 776 of the family's 1533-position model. The record is from RNAcentral.
UACGGAGGGGGCUAGCGUUGUUCGGAAUUACUGGGCGUAAAGGGCGCGCAGGCGGCUGCUCAAGUCAGGCGUGAAAGGCCUGGGCUCAACCCGGGAAUUGCGCUUGAGACUGGGCUGGCUUGAGUGCGGGAGAGGAUGGUGGAAUUCCCAGUGUAGAGGUGAAAUUCGUAGAUAUUGGGAGGAACACCAGUGGCGAAGGCGGCUCGCUGGACCUGACCUGACGCUGAGGCGCGAAGGCGUGGGGAGCGAACGGG